UGCUCAGGACGAACGCUGGCGGCGUGCUUAACACAUGCAAGUCGAACGGAAAGGCCCAGCUUGCUGGGUGCUCGAGUGGCGAACGGGUGAGUAACACGUGGGUGAUCUGCCCCUGACUUUGGGAUAAGCCUGGGAAACUGGGUCUAAUACCGGAUAUGACCUUCUCUCGCAUGGGAGUUGGUGGAAAGCCUUGUGCGGUUGGGGAUGGGCCCGCGGCCUAUCAGCUUGUUGGUGGGGUAAUGGCCUACCAAGGCGACGACGGGUAGCCGACCUGAGAGGGUGAUCGGCCACACUGGGACUGAGACACGGCCCAGACUCCUACGGGAGGCAGCAGUGGGGAAUAUUGCACAAUGGGCGCAAGCCUGAUGCAGCGACGCCGCGUGAGGGAUGACGGCCUUCGGGUUGUAAACCUCUUUCACCAGGGACGAAGCGCAAGUGACGGUACCUGGAGAAGAAGCACCGGCCAACUACGUGCCAGCAGCCGCGGUAAUACGUAGGGUGCGAGCGUUGUCCGGAAUUACUGGGCGUAAAGAGCUCGUAGGCGGUUUGUCGCGUCGUCUGUGAAAUUCUGCAGCUUAACUGCAGGCGUGCAGGCGAUACGGGCAGACUUGAGUACUACAGGGGAGACUGGAAUUCCUGGUGUAGCGGUGAAAUGCGCAGAUAUCAGGAGGAACACCGGUGGCGAAGGCGGGUCUCUGGGUAGUAACUGACGCUGAGAGC
RNAcentral lists this ribosomal RNA (720 nucleotides) under Gordonia sp. VO6-3. Its description in RNAcentral is "bacterial SSU rRNA". It matches the Rfam family "Bacterial small subunit ribosomal RNA", at positions 21 to 754 of the family's 1533-position model. The record is from RNAcentral. Lineage: Bacteria; Bacillati; Actinomycetota; Actinomycetes; Mycobacteriales; Gordoniaceae.